RNAcentral lists this ribosomal RNA (253 nucleotides) under uncultured bacterium. Its description in RNAcentral is "partial 16S ribosomal RNA". It matches the Rfam family "Bacterial small subunit ribosomal RNA", at positions 524 to 776 of the family's 1533-position model. The record is from RNAcentral.
UACAGAGGUCCCAAGCGUUGUUCGGAUUCACUGGGCGUAAAGGGUGCGUAGGUGGUUAGGUAAGUCCGAUGUGAAAUCUCCAGGCUCAACCUGGAAAUGGCAUUGGAUACUAUUUAGCUUGAGGAGUGGAGGGGGGACUGGAAUUCUCGGUGUAGCAGUGAAAUGCGUAGAUAUCGAGAGGAACACCGGUGGCGAAGGCGGCAUCCUGGACCGACACUGACGCUGAGGAGCGAAAGCCAGGGGAGCAAACGGG